This 490-nucleotide ribosomal RNA is filed under the name uncultured bacterium. RNAcentral describes it as "partial 16S ribosomal RNA". It matches the Rfam family "Bacterial small subunit ribosomal RNA", at positions 30 to 507 of the family's 1533-position model. The record is from RNAcentral.
AUUGAACGCUGGCGGCAGGCCUAACACAUGCAAGUCGAAUGGUAACAGGAAACAGCUUGCUGUUUCGCUGACGAGUGGCGGACGGGUGAGUAAUGUCUGGGAAACUGCCUGAUGGAGGGGGAUAACUACUGGAAACGGUAGCUAAUACCGCAUAACGUCGCAAGACCAAAGAGGGGGACCUUCGGGCCUCUUUCCAUCAGUUGUGCCCAGAUGGGAUUAGCUGGUAGGUGGGGUAACGGCUCACCUAGGCGACGAUCCCUAUCUGGUCUGAGAGGAUGACACGCCACACUGGCACUAGGCCACGGUCCUGACUCCUACGGGAGGCAGCAGUGGGGAAUAUUGCACAAUGGGCGCAAGCCUGAUGCAGCCAUGCCGCGUGUAUGAAGAAGGCCUUCGGGUUGUAAAGUACUUUCAGCGGGGAGGAAGGGAGUAGAGUUAAUACCUUCGCUCAUUGACGUUACCCGCAGAAGAAGCACCGGCUAACUCCGUG